UAAACCAAGGAAAAAUUCUCACAAAAAAUUUUCCAAUCGAAAUUCAAUCGAUUCUAUUCGAAGAGGGGAAGAGGCAAGGAAGAAGCGACUUCCUUCCUCUGUCCUUUGUCCUAAAGUAAUGGAAAAGAAAAAGCGCAGGUGGGGUAGCAGGCCUGAUCUCUUUUCGCUCUGCUCGAGAUCUCAUAUUAGAGAGCAUCCAUCCAUCCAUCCAUCGGGUCCAUAGGAUUUUAUAGAAGCGUGGGAGAGAGGGACAGGUGGUUCGAGUUAUUCUUGUGUAUCCUGCGUUCUUCAGUAGCACCUUACCGUAUAUUCGAUAUUUCUGUUCCAUAUCCUACCUGAGCACACCUUGUGGGAAAACUUCCUGAUGCUGAUUGAACCGUGGAAACCGUGAACGCGAUUGAUCCCGUAUCCGACUAGGAUAGGCGCCACGAAAUUUGCAUAUAGAUUCGACAAAUGUUUCAUGAACGGUUGAAAAAAAAAGUAAAAGGAAUUGGAAAUUGGCAAUUAUCUCUUCAAAAAUGAUUUUACGAACGCUAAAAAGAAGUACCAACACUUACGUAUCCUGUCGUUUCACGAGCCAACUUAAUUUACGCUUCUCGCAUGAAAGUUUAAUUGCCUCUACUCUUUUCGCGAAACAGGGAAUUAUUCGAUCAAGCGGAGAAGCGUGAAGAGGAACCUGUGCCUUGCCAAUGUUUAAACUCGAGAUGAUUGUAGCUGUUUCUAAAAAUAAACACGACAUACA
Long non-coding RNA from Apis florea (little honeybee), 742 nucleotides. The record is from RefSeq and is a predicted model, not a curated record. Lineage: Eukaryota; Metazoa; Arthropoda; Insecta; Hymenoptera; Apidae.